Molecule: ribosomal RNA, 404 nt
Filed under: uncultured bacterium
Lineage: Bacteria
Description: bacterial SSU rRNA
Rfam family: Bacterial small subunit ribosomal RNA
Source: RNAcentral
AACGAACGUUAGCGGCGCGCCUAACACAUGCAAGUCGCACGAGAAAGGGCUUCGGCCCCGGUACAGUGGCGCACGGGUGAGUAACACGUGGGUAAUCUGCCUUCGGGUGGGGGAGUAACAUUCCGAAAGGAGUGCUAAUACCGCAUAAGACCACGCCCUCCGAAAGAGGAAGCGGUCAAAGCUGGCCUCUAUACAUAAGCUAGCGCCUGAAAAUGAGCCCGCGGAGCAUCAGCUAGUUGGUGAGGUAAUGGCUCACCAAGGCAUAGACGCUUAGCUGGUCUGAGAGGAGUGAUCAGCCACACUGGGAACUGAGACACGGUCCAGACUCCUACGGGAGGCAGCAGUGGGGAAUCUUGCGCAAUGGGCGAAAGCCUGACGCAGCGACGCCGCGUGAGUGAUGAAGG